Molecule: transfer RNA, 74 nt
Filed under: Caudoviricetes sp.
Lineage: Duplodnaviria; Heunggongvirae; Uroviricota; Caudoviricetes
Description: tRNA-Ile
Rfam family: tRNA
About the family: Transfer RNA (tRNA) molecules are approximately 80 nucleotides in length.
Source: RNAcentral
CGGAACGUAGCUCAAUCGGUCAGAGCAGCUGGCUUAUAUCCAGCGUGGCGGGGGGUCGAGUCUUUCCGUUCCGA